GAUCUGCGUGUGUGCGCACGCCGCGCCCGGCGGAUAACGCGGGGCGCGGCGGGCGAAGGUGUAUGAGAAGCCUUUUUUGUUGUAAAGUUCUUUUUGUGAGGAGGAAGGCGUUGGGGUUAAUACCCUUAUUGAUUGACGUUACCCGCAGAAGAAGCACCGGCUAACUCCGUGCCAUCUUUAUAGGUAAUAAAAAAAACCUAUCUA
RNAcentral lists this ribosomal RNA (204 nucleotides) under uncultured bacterium. Its description in RNAcentral is "partial 16S ribosomal RNA". The record is from RNAcentral.